CAAGAGCUGGGAGAACAGAGGAAGGAGCUUAGAAUGACGUGGAGAGAUGGACUGGACCUAAGAUGUCACUAAGAGCAGAUCAUGACAAUAAAUGAAUCAACAAGCACAAAAGAUGAGGAGAUAAACUAGUAAGUUAACCAUCCUGAAAACUCACCGAGGCCUCUCAACCUGGAAAAAAGGCCACUGAACAAAUAUGACGACUGUGAUCCUAGCACCUAAAAGGCAGAGGCAGGAGGAUGCUGCCAAUUCUUGGCCAGGCAACAAGACAACCUGCGUGUGCUGGUUCUCUCCCACCACCACGUAGAUCUCAGGAGUACAAUGGAGGAUCAAACCAAGAUAAAUCGGACUUUGUACCAAGUGCUUUGACUUUCUGAGCCAUCUUACUGCCCUGCUUUGGUGUUUUUAAUUGCUAUGGAAGACAACACUGUUACACAGAAGUGACCAACAGAACUGCCAACAUAUAUUAAAGUAUCUCCAAUAGC
Psammomys obesus (fat sand rat) is the source of this 482-nucleotide long non-coding RNA. RefSeq lists it as uncharacterized. Lineage: Eukaryota; Metazoa; Chordata; Mammalia; Rodentia; Muridae. The transcript is spliced from 3 exons. The record is from RefSeq and is a predicted model, not a curated record.